This 293-nucleotide ribosomal RNA is filed under the name uncultured bacterium. RNAcentral describes it as "partial 16S ribosomal RNA". It matches the Rfam family "Bacterial small subunit ribosomal RNA", at positions 505 to 796 of the family's 1533-position model. The record is from RNAcentral.
GUGCCAGCAGCCGCGGUAAUACAGAGGGUGCGAACGUUGUUCGGAAUUACUGGGCAUAAAGCGUGCGUAGGCGGCGGCGUAAGUGUAGGGUGAAAUCCCACGGCCCACCCGUGUGAACAGCCCCGCAUACUGCGUUGCUUGAGUGUGGUAGGGGAGAGCGGAACUCCUGGUGGAGCGGUGAAAUGCGUAGAUAUCAGGAGGAACACCGGUGGCGCAGGCGGCUCUCUGGUCCACAACUGACGCUGAAGUACGAAAGCUAGGGUAGCGAACGGGAUUAGAUACCCUCGUAGUCC